Molecule: small RNA, 206 nt
Filed under: Histoplasma capsulatum
Lineage: Eukaryota; Fungi; Ascomycota; Eurotiomycetes; Onygenales; Ajellomycetaceae
Also listed under: 1 other name
Description: hypothetical RNA
Source: RNAcentral
UCCUUCUAUAAGAACCCCCUCGUACGACCCCUUCUUCUGAUCUUCUUUCUCUUUCUUUCCUUAAUCGAUUCGUAAACUGUUACCAGGAUAGUGUCAAGUCCGUUGAUAUUGCCGUUGGAACGGAUCGUACGAACUGCGCAGGCGGUACGAACGGUUUAAUCUGCAACAUCGGUAACAUCUGCUUAAUCGGUGGCACGCCCGUCACA